Non-coding RNA from Mesocricetus auratus (golden hamster), 77 nucleotides. The record is from Rfam. Lineage: Eukaryota; Metazoa; Chordata; Mammalia; Rodentia; Cricetidae.
UGCACUAUAAUGCUGAGAGACGUAGCAGUCACUUUGUUCUAUGAGUAACUGCAACCUCUCUCGGUGUUGUAAGGUUC